Molecule: unclassified non-coding RNA, 1537 nt
Filed under: uncultured fungus
Lineage: Eukaryota; Fungi
Description: sequence contains 18S rRNA gene, ITS1, 5.8S rRNA gene, ITS2, 28S rRNA gene
Rfam family: Eukaryotic large subunit ribosomal RNA (bases 844-1537)
Source: RNAcentral
GGAAGGAUCAUUAAAGUGGCUUUGUAUAAAUUCCAUAUUCAAGUUUUGAGUAUGGUGGGUCUAGCUGGGUAGAUAUCGUGAGGUGCUAUAGUGCAUAAGGUGACCUAGCCAAGGCUAACAGUCUAUUAAAGGCGCCGAGGGGACGAUCUCUGACAUUCCGGAAGACCAGUGAUUAACUGGUUGACCUACGAGUCUUGAGGCGAGGUCUACCUUUGGUGGAACUAGUGGACUCAGUUGAUGAAAGAACCUGAAGGUUAGUGAAUUCUUCAGAACGAGUUUGGAGGCACAUAAAAGUGAUCCCACUUAGCCAGACCUGGUGCGCUACAGGUCCUAUAGAGGUGAGCCAAAUCUUGGACUGAAGGUUUAUUGAAUUAUUCGAACCGAGUUUGGAGGCACGUAAAAAGUGAUCCCACUUCGCCUGGACCUGGUGCGCUACAGGUCCUAUAGAGGUGAGCAAAUCUUGGACUGAAGGUUUAUUGAAUUAUUCGGACUGAGUUUGGAGGCAACGUAAAAGUGAUCCCACUUCGCCUGGACCUGGUGCGCUACAGGUCCUAUAGAGUGAGCCAAAUCUUGGACUGAAGGUUUAUUGAAUUAUUCGGACCGAGUUUGGAGGCACGUAAAAGUGAUCCCACUUCGCCUGGACCUGGUGCGCGACAGGUCCUAUAGAGGUGAGCCAAAUCUUGGACUGAAGGUUUAUUGAUUUAUUUGGACUGAGUUUGGAGGCACGUAAAAAUGAUCCCACUUCGCCUGGACCUGGUGCGCUACAGGUCCUAUAGAGGUGAGCCAAAUCUUGGACUGAAGGUUUAUUGAAUUAUUCGGACCGAGUUUGGAGGCACGUGAAAGUGAUCCCACUUCGCCAGGACCUGGUGCGCUACAGGUCCUGUAGAGGUGAGCCAAACCUUGGACUGAAGUCUUCAGGGAAGUAAUUGACUUUACAGACAUACGAGGUAGUUCUCUCUGUGGGCGUAGUUCGUCUGGCUACAUGAGUGCCCAUUGAGUUUCUGUGACUAGGCUCCUUGAAAGUCAGUACAUAACUUUGGUUCCCCUAGCAGUGGCCGUAUGGGGUAGUGAAAUUCGGUGGCUGGCUUGGUUGAAAUGUCUGAUUCUGCUUGCAGGGUCGGGCGAGUCCUAGGUAAGUCGCCGGGUGGAUCUACUAGCUGCGAAGGCUCGACAAUGUCAGUGGCGGUGACUUAUCCGACCCGUCUUGAAACAUGGACCAAGGAGUCUAACAUGUGCGUGAGUUAUUGAGUGGUAAACUCAAAGGCGAAAUAAAAGUAAAGACAGUGUAUGCUGGCUUAAAUAUGAUCUCUGACUUCGGUCAGAGUGGAGUAUUGUCCCAUCUAAGAGGUUCGUCCUCUGGGUGCAGAAAAGAGCGUAAAUGUUGGGACCUGAAGAUGGUGAACUAUGCCUGAGCAGAACGAAGCCAGAGGGAAACUCUGGUGGAGGUUCGUAGAGGUUCUGACGUGCAAAUCGAUCGUCAGGACUUGGGUAUAGGGGCGAAAGACUAAUCGAAACCAUCUAAGUAGCUGGUUCCCUC